CAGGAAAUGGAGCGGCAAGAACACUGGGUCGGCUACUUGCAAGCGUGGGUUUGUGCAGUUCUGUUAUGAGCCCAUCAAGCAGAUCAUUGCCACUUGCAUGAAUGACCAGAAGGACAAGCUGUGGCCUAUGUUGCAGAAGCUUGGUGUCCAGAUGAAGUCUGAUGAGAAGGAGCUCAUGGGUAAACCUUUGAUGAAGCGUGUCAUGCAGACUUGGCUCCCUGCAAGUACCGCAUUGCUUGAGAUGAUGAUCUUUCACCUUCCGUCGCCCCACACUGCACAGAGGUACCGUGUUGAGAACCUGUAUGAAGGUCCUCUCGAUGAUCAGUACGCCACCGCCAUCAGCCUUGUGGUGGUUGACUGUAUUGAGGGUGUCUGUGUUCAGACUGAGACUGUGCUGCGUCAGGCUCUUGCUCAGAUCACCUGAGAGAACAUUUUGAAUGAACCAGGCCACCCAAAUGGAACCCGCUCUGAAGAAUAGUACCCACAACAGCUUGAUGGAGCAAGCUUUAUUCCACCACACCAAGUUCCUGAUCCCAAGCCCUCCUUCAUCUUUUGACAGUAUAACCGUUUCCCAAGAUACUCUUGCAGAGUGAGAGCCUUCCGAUGAUCCUUUUCAAAGGUAAGCCCCACACAGAGAAUUUAUGAUUUCUAUGCACUUCUUAGGGAUUGUGAAUGUUGAGCACCAGAACAGCUGGUUUUAAACUGAAACACUACAAAAUCGCCAUGCAAACAAGAUAAUCCGCAACCGGAAAACAAAAUUCGAUCUAAACGAUCGAAAGAUAACUAUUUUACAUCAAAGUUUCUUAUCUCAUCUCCUCUCCUCUGUGAAAGAUAGAGAGAGAGAGAACAGAGGAGAGAGAGAUAAAACUUUUAACACUACAAAGUUCCAUACCAAAAAAAAAAAAAAUCUUCAAAACCAAAUCUUAAAACGAAUUAUUGGGCCAAAAUAAUAAACUAUUGGGCCAAAUUUUUUAUUGGGCCACAAAGGGUCGAGAAAAGCAGCGGAAACCCUAGGCAUAUAUCAAUCGCCUCCUCUCCGGCUCAUCUCUCUCACAAGCCUCUCCUUCCCCUCCAAGGUCAGAGUCCGUUUCUUUGUUACGAUUGUCGUCGAUGGUUUAAUUGUUGUAUUGAAUCUGCAUAGUUUUAGCUGUUAGAUGUUUAUAUGAUCAGUAGUACUGUUUCCUUAUGGUCUUUGUUGUUAUUUUAUUUUUAUUUUCUUGGUAAUCGAUCUGUCUCGUUUCUUUAGAUCUGAUCGUAGAAACGUUUAAUGAUGAUAGGAUCCGUAUAAAUACUAUUUGAUUGUGAGCUGUUACUUGUCUGUUUGCUCAAGUUUUCAGAAGAUUAUUUUGGUAUUAAAAUGUUUUUGAAUCGUUUCAUAAUCAGUUGCCUAAUUUAUUCUUAAUAUUGUUUCUGUGAUUGCAGAGAUAUCGUAGGGUAUCUACAAAUCAGAGUUUGUCAAAAUGGUAAGCCAUACUUGUUAAUAUCUUUACUUUUGUCUUCUUGUUGUUGAUUCUAACUUUUUUUUUUUUUUUCCUUUAAAUUAACUUGUAGGUGAAGUUUACGGCCGAUGAGCUUCGUAGGAUUAUGGAUUACAAACACAACAUCCGUAACAUGUCCGUUAUUGCCCAUGUCGACCAUGGUACUUACUGUCUUUUUUAUUUAUUUUUUUUUUUCAGACUUCAAAUUAUUUUUACUAGGGUUACUCAGGUUCUCUUUUCUCUUAUGCUUUUUGUGAUUGACGACAGGUAAAUCCACCCUGACUGACUCCUUGGUUGCUGCUGCUGGUAUCAUUGCGCAAGAAGUUGCUGGUGAUGUCCGUAUGACUGAUACUCGUGCUGACGAGGCUGAACGUGGUAUCACCAUCAAGUCCACGGGUAUCUCUCUCUACUACGAGAUGACCGAUGCUUCCUUGAAGAGCUUCACUGGCGCCAGAGAUGGGAACGAGUACCUUAUCAACCUCAUCGACUCUCCUGGCCACGUUGACUUCUCCUCUGAGGUCACUGCUGCGCUCCGUAUUACCGAUGGUGCCCUUGUGGUGGUUGACUGUAUUGAGGGUGUCUGUGUUCAGACUGAGACUGUGCUGCGUCAGGCUCUUGGUGAGAGGAUUAGGCCCGUGCUGACUGUGAACAAGAUGGACAGGUGUUUCCUUGAGCUUCAGGUUGAUGGUGAGGAGGCUUACCAGACGUUCCAGAGGGUCAUUGAGAACGCUAAUGUCAUCAUGGCAACGUAUGAGGAUCCUCUCCUUGGUGAUGUUCAGGUCUACCCUGAGAAAGGAACCGUCGCCUUCUCUGCUGGUCUCCAUGGCUGGGCUUUCACCCUGACCAACUUUGCGAAGAUGUAUGCUUCCAAGUUCGGUGUUGACGAGACUAAGAUGAUGGAGAGGCUGUGGGGUGAGAAUUUCUUUGACCCUGCCACCAGGAAAUGGAGCGGCAAGAACACUGGGUCGGCUACUUGCAAGCGUGGGUUUGUGCAGUUCUGUUAUGAGCCCAUCAAGCAGAUCAUUGCCACUUGCAUGAAUGACCAGAAGGACAAGCUGUGGCCUAUGUUGCAGAAGCUUGGUGUCCAGAUGAAGUCUGAUGAGAAGGAGCUCAUGGGUAAACCUUUGAUGAAGCGUGUCAUGCAGACUUGGCUCCCUGCAAGUACCGCAUUGCUUGAGAUGAUGAUCUUUCACCUUCCGUCGCCCCACACUGCACAGAGGUACCGUGUUGAGAACCUGUAUGAAGGUCCUCUCGAUGAUCAGUACGCCACCGCCAUCAGAAACUGUGAUCCUAAUGGCCCUCUCAUGCUCUAUGUUUCUAAGAUGAUUCCUGCCUCAGACAAGGGGAGGUUCUUUGCUUUUGGUCGUGUCUUCUCUGGAAAGGUG
Molecule: long non-coding RNA, 2863 nt
Filed under: Brassica napus (rape)
Lineage: Eukaryota; Viridiplantae; Streptophyta; Magnoliopsida; Brassicales; Brassicaceae
Description: long non-coding RNA (BNAP_LNC012367)
Source: RNAcentral